ACUAAAUGCAUAGCAUCGUGAAGAUACAAAACGCCCUCUAAAAUCCUUGCAAACAGUAAAAUAUAACAGUUACGUAGGCCUUUAGACAUUACACCGUGAAUAUGCUUAUUUCGUCUGUUUAUGUGUUUCUCGAGUGUUUCUUCGCAAAGAGCCAUUUGUAUGUACAAACAUAAGGGCUGUUGAUCAAAGCUGGGAAUAUUGGAACAUUCAUCUUCCUCUCUUUCGGAUAGAAAUGAAUCCAUAAGUAACAUUUCAGAAGCUGACUUCGUUGGCGCCAACUUUCCUAAUGUGUCGACUUGUGAUGUUGUUGAAGAACAAUCAUGUGACUCGGCAUAAUCCUGAUCGGCCUCUUUCUUGAAAAGAUCAGUCAAGUUGCAAGUCGAAUUUUUGGUAGAGUAACAAGGAGUUAAAUCAUCUGCAACCGAGUCCUCUUGGAAUAGUAUCUGAACUGAUGAAGGAUAAGUAUGCUGAAGUAACCCAGUAUCCAUAUCAAACAUAAAAUUAUCUAUAUCUGCUGAUUGAGAUAAUGUCUCAUCUGCCGAAGCUAAAGGUUCUUCUUCGAUUUGCUUUUCAGAUGACGGUAAGAGCUCGACCCAACUAGAAAAGAAUCUUAUCACAUUGGGAUGGUUUAAUCUUGCCAAGGUCCUAGAUUCACGGAAUAUGUUAGAAGAAGUGGAGAAAGAACGUAACCGAAGUGGAAUUUUUUUUAAAGCAUAUUCAACUCCAUCGAAUUUAUUUCGAGCUUUAUACACUGAACCAUAACCGCCUUUACCAAGUAACUCAAGUUCUUCAAAAUCACUUGCAUAUCUUGACCUUUGGACUGUGGGAAAGCUAUCAAAGUUGCUAAAAGACAAGUUACCGGUUCCAUCUUUGUGCUCACAAAAAUCAGCAAACGUGGAGGACUCCAAAGUGGUUUGUGGAAAGCAAGAUUCCAAUGCUUCAACUGGUAAAUGAUUUAACCUAUUAGACAAUACGUUUACUGAAGGCUUGACAUUCAUCACAUCGUCUUCGUAUCCACCAUCACUCAAUACGCUCAAGAAGGAAGCAGUUUUCGCCAAAACGCCAUCAGGGCUGGAAUACCUCGAUUUCUUAGAAUCCUUAGUAGAGCUCAUGGGUAAGGUACUCCGAAAAGCUUUAGAUAAGAGGUUAUGAAGAGAAUCGGCAUAAGCAUUACGAAUUGGUUCAAGCUCCUCGGAGAACUCAAAAUCUAUGAUACCUGAAUUUUGAAGCGAAUGAGCAACAUAUAAAAACAUUUGCUUCGAUUGCUCUGGAGUUUGAUCAGAAUGCUUACAAAAGCUUUCUAACAACGCAACGAGAAGCAACUUGCAGGAACUUUGAGUAUCCGCGGUUUUUUUUUCGAAAUUCUGUUUGUAACCGAGACCAAUUGUCGGCAUAAUCCGACUGAUAUUUUCCUUGGCAUAGUUGCAAUCCCUUUUCGAACAUUUAGUAGAAGUGCCGAGCAUUCUUGUGUGAAUGAAUCAAAUCAAAGCAAAUAAGAAAAGAGAAAGAAGA
Molecule: non-coding RNA, 1512 nt
Organism: Schizosaccharomyces pombe (fission yeast)
Lineage: Eukaryota; Fungi; Ascomycota; Schizosaccharomycetes; Schizosaccharomycetales; Schizosaccharomycetaceae
Source: the annotation of a GenBank genome assembly